This is a long non-coding RNA of Onychostoma macrolepis, 269 nucleotides long. RefSeq lists it as uncharacterized. Lineage: Eukaryota; Metazoa; Chordata; Actinopteri; Cypriniformes; Cyprinidae. The transcript has 3 exons. The record is from RefSeq and is a predicted model, not a curated record.
AUGUUGCGUUUCUGAUUAUUUUCUUUUCAAGAAAACGCAGUCGAAACAGGUCUAUCGAGUUACACUGAAGACACGCACAUUCACGACGAAACAUUAAUUAAGGAAGAAUGGCAUUUCUCCGAGGAAGUAAUCGUCAGCUGGCCCGCUGCGAGAAACCAGACGUCUCAGUUCAUCCGUCUUUGCUGGAGAAUCAAAUGGGGAACAAAGUGUUUUUAGUCAGAUCGAUCUAUUGACAGCACAGCUGAUGAGUGAGCAUGAGGCACAAAACG